CCAACUUCAAGAUAAGAUUUCCCACCGCAAGGGUAAGACCCCAGAAAGACUAUCUGGUUGAUAGGUCGAAGGUGUAAGUGCAGCAAUGUAUUUAGCUUAUCGAUACUAAUAGGUCGAGGACUUGACCAAUAUUUAUUUGAUGUUCAUUCAUUAAGAUAUAUGUGUAGUUUUUAGAGUGUUAACUUUUAAAAAUUAGUUUUACUAAUUUACAAUAAAAUAGGUGUGCUGGUGUGGCUCAACGGUAGAGCAGCUGACUUGUAAUCAGCAGGUUGUAGGUUCGAUUCCUAUCACCAGCUCCAGUAAAGACUAUGUUUUUAGCAUAGUCUUUUUUUAUUGUUUUUUAUUGUUUGAUGUAUUUGUUAUUUUGUAUUAAAUACUUUUAGUGGUCUAAUUUAUAAAUUAUAGGUAUAAAAGAUGACACAGUUUAAAAUUAUUGUUUUAAACUGUGUCUGUGAGUUUUAAAUCAAUCUACCAUGAAUCACCAUUCUGGCAUCAUCAAAUUCAUAUGUACAUGUAGAAAGUGUAACUAUUUUAUCAUUGCUAUUUACCUUAAUAGGAGAUUUAUACAAUGAUUUAGAAGUAAUAUCAUUUAUGUAAUUUUGAUAAUCAGAUUCAUUGUUAAAAUUUGUUUUUAGAUAAUCAUAAUCAGAUUCUACAAUAUAAGCAGAAAAAACAUCAUAUAAAAAUUCUUUUCCAUUCAAGGUUAUUUUUAUUUUAUUAUUUUUUUUAAAGAAGUCAGCAUCUUUAAACUUAUUUAGGUUGUUGAACAUAGUUUUAUUUUUCAUAUUAUGUCCAUAUAUUAUGAUAUUUUUGUCAUCAAUAGAUUUAUUUCUAUAAUCCAUAAACAGUGUACCAGAAAUAGAAUCUUUUUUAUAAAAAUCUUUGUCAAGAUAGUAAGAAUUAUCUUUAGAUUGUACAACUGGAUAAUUUAUAUUUGUAUUCUCAACAGAAAGCCAAAAUUUAAAAUCACUGUUAAUCUUUGAUAAAUCCUCUUUUUUAUAUUCUUUUUUUUGAAGUUCUGAGGAUAUUUUAGUAUCAUGAUUGUAUUUGGUAAGUUUUGAGUAUAUAUUAAAUCCACUGUAAAGUAUUACUAAUACUAGUAUAAUGUUAAUUACUAUUCUAUAUAAUUUUUUCAAUAUAUCACCUCGAGUUAAAUGUAGUUUAUAUAUCUAUAUUACACUAUUUUUGAAUAAAUUUAAAUUUUUAGUAUAAUAUUACUUUGACAUGUAAAAGAAUUUGUGUUAACAUAACUAAGUAAAAUAAAUAUUAAGUAAGCCAGAUAAUCGCAUGUAAUCUUACAUGAGGAAAGUCGGAGCUCCAUAGAGCAGGGUGCUAGGUAACGCCUAGUGGGAGCGAUCCUAAGGAUAGUGCAACAGAAAUAAACCGCCACUAUUGUGGUAAGGAUGGAAAGGCGAGGUAAGAGCUCACCAGCAGCUAGGCGACUAGUUGGCUAUGUAAACCCCACCUGGAGCAAGACCAAGAUAGGAAUAAAGAGUGCUGCUCGUACUCUCCGGUAGGUAGGUCGCUUGAGCCUAUUGGUGACAAUAGGCCUAGAAAGAUGAUUAUCUAAUACAGAACUCCGCUUAUAGACUUGCUUAAUUAUUUCGAUAGUCAAAAACAUCAGUUUAAACUGAUGUUUUUUUAUUUGUAAAUUUGUCUAAUCUACUUUUAAAAUUUUGAGGAAUAUUGUAAUAUAAGUUAGUACAGAUAUUAAAAAUGGUAUAAUAUAAGAUAGAUAUAAAAAGAAAAAGUAAAAUGAUGUAAAUAAUAUGAUAUGAUAUAAGAUGUAGCAAAUUUAGUAAAUAAUUAUUUAGAUAUCAUAAUCAAAUUAGCAACUUUGCACAAUGUAAAUAUUACAAUAAAAUAAUUGAUUUAAGGAGUGAAGGUUUUGAGUGAAAAUAAUAUAAUAAGAAACACUGUUUUAAAUGUCACAGCAAGUUUUUUAAAACAAGAGUCUAAAAUAAAUGAAAAGCUAGAUGGUGUUUUGGAAAAGAAAUUUGAAAAAGUAGAAUUUAAUGAAGCAAAAUAUGCAGAGCUUUUAAAAUUUAAUAUAUUGUUUUAUAAGACAUUAGCAAGAAAUACAGAACCACUUAUUGGCAAAUGGAUAGUAGAUAAGUACAUACCUGAAAUAGAUGAAUUAGAAAAAGAUUUAGAAUUAACUACAGCAAAAUGUAGAAAGUAUGUAAAUAAGGCUAUGAAAGAGGGAUUAGACUCUCUAAAAGCCAAUGAUUUAAAUAGUUUUUUAGCUUAUGAUAAAAUGGAACUAUCAGAGAGAAGAAGACGUUUAGAAAAGGAUUAUAAGGUUUUAAACCUAUAUAAAGACCUUCUUAAUAUAUCUCUUAGAAAAAUAAGUUUAGAAAAGAAAGAAUGUGGAGAUUU
RNAcentral lists this ribosomal RNA (2379 nucleotides) under Clostridioides difficile CD13. RNAcentral describes it as "partial 16S ribosomal RNA". The stretch from base 1268 to 1602 matches the Rfam family "Bacterial RNase P class A". The record is from RNAcentral. Lineage: Bacteria; Bacillati; Bacillota; Clostridia; Peptostreptococcales; Peptostreptococcaceae.